UUCCAAGAAAAAGAAAUACUUUAGCCCGCCCAAGAGCCUUGAUCUCUCGUGCUUCUAAUUUCCCAUUGGACUCUCGACGCCGCUAGAGUCCAAUCCAUACGUUACUUGGCCCCGGCUGCUCCGCAUUCAUGAAAAUUUCUAUGGAGACGGUAAGGACUUUGUUUGGGAUAUGGAGUGUUGGAGAAGCGACGAAAGCAGCCGAGAAUCUGAGCCUGAAUGUUUUCCAGCAUUCUGCAGUUUCCUAUCAUGUAGAAUCUGCCGAUUUGAUUCAAAAGAAAUCUGCUGUUAUAUUGUCUUGAGAUGCUGCACAACAGGAACAGACAAUGAGCUAUUGACAAAAAGGGUUUUCGUUAUUGCUCUCAAUAGUAGAGCAUUGCUGCAGGCCAUUUAGAGAAUACUGAAGCCAUGCAUGUGCAGCACCUAAUAGCUAGAGCUGCAGAAUAAAUUGCCAAAAAGGUUUCUUGAUAUUUUGGGUGUUCAUUUAAAUCGUAUAUUUUUUUUAGGUAUUUAAUUUGAUCUUAAGCUAUUAAACUUGAACAAAUUUGAUUGUACCAUUAAUUUUGUCGUUUAUUUGAAUAAAAAUGGGUGGAGGAAAGCUUUUUGUGAAGCCAUUAUAUAUAUAUAUAUUUAAGGUCUAAAGAUUGAUCUUAAAAAGUUCAAAAAUGACCUCACGAAACUUUCCUCUAAAUUCUA
Dendrobium catenatum is the source of this 693-nucleotide long non-coding RNA. RefSeq lists it as uncharacterized. The record is from RefSeq and is a predicted model, not a curated record. The transcript has 3 exons. Lineage: Eukaryota; Viridiplantae; Streptophyta; Magnoliopsida; Asparagales; Orchidaceae.